CGCGGGUCGGCAGGAGGACACCCCGUCCUCCGACUUUGGUUCGGAGGCUCCUCGCCCUCCACCUGCGUAGUCGGAGGUGUGCGCGGCUGCAGCUCCGACUACCUGGGAGCGGUUCCGCGCCUCCCCCCACAGUUACCAGGUGACAGGGGUGUUUAUGAAGAACUGGGACUCACUGGAUGAACAUGGGGUCUGUACUGCCGACAAAGACUGUGAAGACGCUUACAGAGUUUGCCAGAUCUUAGACAUCCCUUUCCAUCAAGUGUCCUACGUAAAGGAGUAUUGGAACGAUGUGUUCAGGGGCAGAUGCCAUUGCCACAGGUCACUACGCAAGAACUUCACUGGAAGAUGAAGAAGUCUUUGAGCAGAAGCACAUUAAGAAGCCAGAAGGGCUUUUCAGAAAUCGGUUUGAAGUUAGAAAUGCGGUAAAACUCCUCCAGGCAGCUGACAGCUUUAAAGACCAGACCUUCUUUCUCAGCCAGGUUUCCCAGGAUGCCCUGAGGAGAACCAUCUUCCCUCUGGGGGGAUUAACGAAAGAGUUCGUAAAGAAAAUCGCUGCUGAGAAUAGACUUCAUCAUGUGCUUCAGAAGAAAGAGAGCAUGGGCAUGUGUUUCAUCGGGAAGAGGAAUUUUGAACAUUUCCUUCUUCAGUAUUUGCAGCCUCGACCUGGUCACUUUAUUUCCAUAGAAGACAAUAAGGUUCUGGGAACACAUAAA
This 713-nucleotide small RNA is filed under the name Pongo abelii (Sumatran orangutan). Its description in RNAcentral is "processed transcript". Lineage: Eukaryota; Metazoa; Chordata; Mammalia; Primates; Hominidae. The record is from RNAcentral.